This 91-nucleotide non-coding RNA is filed under the name Myxococcales bacterium. Its description in RNAcentral is "TPP sequence". It matches the Rfam family "TPP riboswitch aptamer (THI element)". From Rfam's summary of the family: Vitamin B(1) in its active form thiamin pyrophosphate (TPP) is an essential coenzyme that is synthesised by coupling of pyrimidine and thiazole moieties in bacteria. The previously detected thiamin-regulatory element, thi box was extended, resulting in a new, highly conserved RNA secondary structure, the THI element, which is widely distributed in eubacteria and also occurs in some archaea. Lineage: Bacteria; Pseudomonadati; Myxococcota; Myxococcia; Myxococcales. The record is from RNAcentral.
CCAUCUCGCUCGGGGCGCCCGCGAGGGCUGAGAAGAACCCGUCGAACCUGAUCCGGUUUGAACCGGCGUAGGGAAGCGAGCCAUCCAGCUC